GCCGCCCUCCCCGUCCGCCGCCACACGACGACCGUACCGGUACCGGGGACGGACGGACGAGGUGGGGUAAGUUUAGGUCGCAAGUAGGGGAACCGACGACGCAGCAACGCCGCCGGUGGGAGGGAGUAGGAAAUCCUUGGAUGUAACUCCUUCGAUCGGGACGAUUAUGACGGUACCGGAAGAAGAAGCCCGGCUAACUUCGUGCCAGCAGCCGCGGUAAUAC
This 223-nucleotide ribosomal RNA is filed under the name uncultured bacterium. Its description in RNAcentral is "partial 16S ribosomal RNA". The record is from RNAcentral.